AGGAGAGGGUUUCAGGAAGGAACGACUGGUCAACACUGUACACUUUCAAAGGUCAGAGAAUUUAAGAGCUGAAAGUUGUGCUGUACGUUCUGAGAACUAAGAGGAAUUUGGAGACCUUCUACCGUGGAGAGGUGCAGGCAGAAGCAAGGAUUUGGUUUUCUCACGUAUUUCUUCAACCAGAAUCCCCCACAGAAGCUGGAGUGGAAGGUGCCCAGCAUGGUAACAACCGGCACACAGACAGAACCUGGAAAAGACAAUUUGUUAAUGUUUAUCCUGGCCAGGGGAGCAGGCUGCUGACUGAC
Long non-coding RNA from Lontra canadensis (Northern American river otter), 302 nucleotides. RefSeq lists it as uncharacterized. The record is from RefSeq and is a predicted model, not a curated record. NCBI's taxonomy places the organism in Eukaryota, Metazoa, Chordata, Mammalia, Carnivora, Mustelidae. The transcript has 3 exons.